GAUGAACGCUGGCAGCGUGCCUAAUACAUGCAAGUCGAGCGAACGGACGAGAAGCUUGCUUCUCUGAUGUUAGCGGCGGACGGGUGAGUAAUACGUGGAUAACCUACCUAUAAGACUGGGAUAACUUCGGGAAACCGGCGCUAAUACCGGAUGAUAUUUUGAACCGCAUGGUUCAAAAGUGUAAGACGGUCUUGCUGUCACUUAUAGAUGGAUCCGCGCUGCAUUAGCUAGUUGGUAAGGUAACGGCUUACCAAGGCAGCGAUGGAUAGCCGACCCGAGAGAGUGAUCGGCCACACGGGAACUGAGACGCGGUCCAGACUCCUACGAGAGGCAGCAGAAGGGAAUGGUCGGCAGUAGGGGAAAACCUGACGGAGCGGCGGCACGUGAGUGGUGAAGAUCUUGGGAUCGGAAAGCUCGGUUAUUAGGGGUGAACAUAUGUGUAAGUAGCUGUACAGAUCUUGACGGUACCUAAUCAGAAAGCAACGGCUAACUACGUG
RNAcentral lists this ribosomal RNA (497 nucleotides) under uncultured bacterium. RNAcentral describes it as "partial 16S ribosomal RNA". It matches the Rfam family "Bacterial small subunit ribosomal RNA", at positions 28 to 507 of the family's 1533-position model. The record is from RNAcentral.